Non-coding RNA from Drosophila virilis, 5427 nucleotides. The record is from RefSeq and is a predicted model, not a curated record. NCBI's taxonomy places the organism in Eukaryota, Metazoa, Arthropoda, Insecta, Diptera, Drosophilidae.
UCGUCGUUGCGUGUUGUAGGUGGUCUGGUCUGCUCUGUGCUGGUCUGCGCUGCUGCCCAGAUUUUUGCUGCCACUGGCACACACUGAUUGGGAUGCCUCUGCCGCUGCUGCCGUUGCUGUCGAGCCGACGUUGCUGCUGAUUUUGCUGUUGCUGUUGCUGUUGCUGUUGCUGCUACAUCUUCCGCAAUGACGACGACCAACCCAAACUUCUGUUUCAAUUGCCGUACGCGACGCGACGCGUUCAGUCUACGUUUCAGUGCGUUACGUAGUGCAACAAAGUGACGCGAACGUUUCAGUUUCAAUUUCAGUUUCAGUUACAGUUACAAUUACAGUUACAUUCUUGGGUUGAUGUUAAGUUUGAGCCCAAGUUUGAGGCAACUCAACAAUUGGCCUCGUUAGCCGUAGGCUUGAAUUGCCAGCCUGCCUGCCAGACUGGCCGACUUGGCCGACUGGCUGUGGCUCCUCAUCAACGUCAUCGUGAUCGUCUACAGCAUCUGUCAGGUGGCAAGUGCCAAGCAUGUGUGUCAAUUAAAAUAUCUCAGCUCAGUGAAUUGCGUGCGUGACUGUGUUUAAUUUGCGCCACAUGCCAUACGCACCACACGGCGUAUGUGCAACGUGCCCCACAGACAAGCAUCAAUACAUGCACAAACACUUACAAGCCCAAUGAAUAUGACAAUACUUGCAAUUCAACUAUGCGAAUAAAGAACUCUAAACAAAUUCCAUUGAAUUCAGCAAUCUAUGAAAUUGCGAUAUCCAGCGCAGCAGUGACCAGUCAAAGCACCAUACCGAAGCGAGCACAAAAAAUCAAUAAAAUGAUUAACAGAGCUUAAAGUGGAAAAUGCCAGCUGUCAUAAGAAAAUGCACAUAAUUCAGGUAAGUCGGCAAUCAACUUAAGAAAAUGAAAUCCACAGACUUAUCACAAAAUAUUUCAAGUUGGCUGCAUUUUAAUUUUCUCUGUAAAUGCAAAAUCUAUGCCUCUGCUUCGGCUACUCCAAAGUCUGAAACGUAAUUAAAGGAGUUUUAGAGUAAUUGAAAAGCUUCAAUAAAUCAAUAUCAUGUGCUCAAAUGAACAAAGAGGCAACAAUCGCAGCAUAAAAUGAAUUGCCAAAUGCUUUGAAUGUGACACUCAUUUAAUUUAAUAAAAUCAACAACUGGGCAUAAAUAUUUUAAAGAUUAUUUCAUUUUCUCUAUCAGGCCCUCCAUUUUAAAGCAAUCUAGUUUUUUAUGAUAUUCAAAUGUUGCUAAGUAUUUUACUACACUUAUCCGAAAGUGAACAAGUGUAAUUUGUAUCCUUAUCGUAAUGCGUAAAUUUAUACUUCUUCUGGAACAGACGAAAUUAUAAAUAGUUGACAUUUGAAUAUUAAAAUUACUUCACAUGGUCUUUGCAAUUACUAUCGGCAACUGUGACUAAUAAAGUAACCUUAGCCGAGUUGCGCUAAGCCACUUCUAUGCUGACGAGCUCAAUCAGGGCCAACCCAGGUCAAAAUUAAGUAGAGCCUGUUUUUAUGAGUUCAACGUGGCAUGUAACUGGGCGCAUCAAUGUAGUUGUUGUUGUUCAUGUUCUGGCUGUGUUUUGCUAGACUCCGCUCCUAGUCAAGAGCUACUCCUUGUUGUAAUAGUAGUAGUAGCUGUUGUUGCAUUUGUCGUACAUCUUUGUUUACUUUGUGCUCAUGUAACGCCCUCUACUCUGUCAACGGCCCCAACAACGUUGUUGUCCUCGGCAAGAAAUUUAAUUUACCAGCCGCCAUAAAACGGCAGAAUGGCAGCGGCCAGCGUUGGUCGGAGGGAGGACACACGUCUCUGCAAUUUUGUUUGCACCGAAAAAUUUGUGUGCUCUUUGCUUUAAAAGCGCCAAGCGCAACAUUUUCACAAUUAAUUUGUCAUUUCGUAGUGCAAAUAUUUUUUCAACUCUCCAACUUUGAGCAUAACAGAUACCUGGUCUCCUGAGUUCCGGGCACCGUAUCUCGGUUGGGCAUCAGGCCUUGGCCACAGCCCAACGUAUUUAACGUUCGCUUAACGAAACUUUUUGUUGCUGAAAGCAUUGUAAAAUAUGAACAAAAGUUGAAAGCUUGCAUAUGCUACCAAAUUCUCCACUCUAAUCCUUGACUUUUAGCAUACUUUUCAAGGAUUUGCACACACGCACACACACACACACACACACACAAUACACUUGUGUGCAUGGAUAUGACCGUAAAAAGACUGUCCGCAAAUGCAUUUAUUCAUGAGAAGUUUUUGUUACACUCUCAGCUGGCCAAAUGAAAAGCGUCACUGAACAAGAUCCAGCUAGUUGCUAAGAGACACGACAAAUACGAAUGCAGCUCGUCUUAAUUGUAUUACAGGGCAGGCAAGCAGAAAGACAAGCUAAGUCUCAGUAAGAAUUCAAAUAAAAUAGGAUUUUCAAACAUUAUACUAUGCAUUCCAUCAAUGUAUUUCGCCCCAAAUUCGCCUGAUUAUUAACUCUUGAGGCUCUCACAAGUAGUUGGCCUAUCUGGUCAUAAAUUUUUGCAAAAUAUUCGCAUGUUGAAAGAACAAAUUUUAUGACAAAGUAGAGCAAAUUUAAACUAUCAAAAGUGCACAUUAAGAGAUGAAGUUUUUCGUAAUGUAAAAAUAACAAUACAUAUUUCUAAUUAAACUCGUGAUAAUAAAUUGAUAGCAGCAAAAUAAACGCUGCAGAACCGAAUUGUACUACAGAAUUUGCUCUCGUAAUUUAUAUUUUAUUUUAUUUAUUUAUUUUUCUAUGCCAUGUACGAAAUCGAAAUCCGAGCUACAUCUACAUUUACAUUUAGAGCAAAUAAAGAGGAAAACAAAAGAUUUAUCAAAUUUGCAGCUUUGAAACAUUUCAGCCGUAAAGCAUGCAAAAGCAAAUCCUGUGGACCAAACAUUUGGCAUUAAGGAAACAGAAGCUCAUGCAUAUUGUAUAAUAAAUAUGUGUUGCAUGUUAAACAAAACCAGGAGACAACUGUAAGCCCUGCCUCCAGGUUGGGGGGCUUGAGGUCAGUUGGUGCUGCUGUCAAAGAUCUUGGGGAAAAACCGAGACAAAACAAGACACAAAACAAAUAGUCUAAUAAGCCCUGGCUGAGUGGCAGUCAAACGACAAAUGGCAAACGGCAAACGGACUGACAACUGUCUUAGAUACACCCACAAAAGAUACAAAAAGUGCUUCGCUUUUUGGCAUAUGCCGUAGAUACAUAUUUGCAUAGAAAGCUUUUGACUUUGGCAUGAGCAUAAAAAAUAAAUGCCAAAUAAAAUAAAUUAUAUGCACGCACACACACACACACACACAUGUGAGUGUGUAACGCAAAUAUGUUAACAGAUUAAACAUGAGGCAGCCAGAGCAGCUGGCCAAAAGCCGCAGGCAAACACGAGACCAACUGAACCACAGACUCUACCAGCCCAGUAUCGUCUCCAUGCGCAUUGAUUGCCGUGUUCCAACUACAAUGCGUUACGUAUACGUUAUAUUUUUGAGGGGCCAGCAGACAGCAAUACGAGCAGCGCUCCCUGACUCUGGCUCUGCUCCUGACACUGGCAACGUGACUGUGACACGACCAAUUAGUGUUGCUAGCCCAGCGCUGAUGUGCCUUGCUGUAGCCAGAGUUACACGCACACACACUUGCCACGUUGCGUCCUAACAUUGAACCUUAAGAAGUGAGCCCAAUGCAAAUGUUUUCAGCUGCAGCUUAACGCAAACUAGAUACUGCUAAUAUCUGGAAUUUAAAGCAAAUGUACAUAUAUGCUGAAACAAAAACGUAACUAAAUUUGACACCUCUUGAGAUUGCAUAUGUAGUAUGUCACACUUGCAUACAAUUUACGGAAAAAAGUUCGGCAUUGCUAUUUCAAAGAGCUGCUAUUUGAUGUCCUUUUGUCACAGACGCACAGAAGCACAAUAGGAAAAUAAAGGAGUAUUUCAAAGAGGCUUGUUGUUAUUUUAAAAUAUCCUAGAGGGAAAUAGAAAACAACAUCGGUGAUUCAGUUUACGCUUCCAGCCAACCCUCUGCCUUCAGGCUCGGUGCGUUAACCUAGUUUAUCAUUGUCAAAGUACAUGUCAAGGUAUUUUCAAAGAUGAAAUAGAAAAACAAAAUUGUUACUUUAUAAAAGUAUUGCAAGCCGUUCAAAAUUUCAUCCGAUCUCCAACCAAAAGUGGCAUUCACAAAUUGAAUGGAUGCCUUAAAAGCUUUUAAUGUGAUUUAAGUAGAAAUUUGGUUUGGAUUACGAUUAUACCAUUUUUUCGGAAUACUGUAGUCAUAGUACUCAAUAAAAAUGGGAUUUUGUGACUGAAUCAAUUCGGAUAAAAAUAGAUUUACAGCUUUAUCUAUCGAGAUCAAUUCUAAGCUGCCUACACUUAAUUCUAAUUUUCGUUGCUAGAGAAUUUACGCUUUCCCAAAAACCUCAUAUAUUAGUAAGAAGUUAAAGUUCUUUCCCCAUUUGCAAUUGUGCUAAAGGAGAGAUUCUUAUGGUCUACACAAACACAAUAUGCCCUUUAUAUUGCUCAAUAUAGGAUAUAGAAGGAAAAAAAAACAACAGCAGAAUACCAAAGACUUUUCAUAAAAGGCAAACGAAAACAAGCGAAAAUCAUUGAGUUUAGUUGGCAUCAGUCGAGAACAUCAAAGUGAAUAAAGCGGCGAGAAGUACAAAAAAAAAAAGUGCCAAAAGGAAGGCCAAAAGUAAACAACCAUUAUACACUUCACAAAAACGUUGCAGGGUGUGGCAGGUUGAAAAGUGCGGAGUGCUGUGGCAUCGAGAGGUUCGGGUAGCUGGGCAGUAUGAAAACAUUUUACUGCCAAACACACUCAAACACACGCACACCAGAAAAAUAAACAAUUUCAUAAGAUAUGCACAACAACAAGCGUUGGAAAAUAUCUGAAUAUAUAUAUGUAUACGUAUAAGUAAAAUGUGGCAAGCAAGUGGCAGCAGGAGUCGAAGUGGCUGGCUGUGGGAGUUGGCCAGGGCAACCGCAGGGCAGGCAGCAGCAGCAGCAGCAGCAGUAGCACCAGCAGCAACAACAACAGCAGCAAAUAAUGCAAAACAAACAGAAAACGUAACAAAGUAAAACAGCAAACGGCAAGGGAGAGCGGGCGCAGGGCACUAAGGCGGGGGCGACACCAGGCGACGAGACACUUUGCCGCCAACGCAAAUAAACCCCAAUAAGUGGAGUUGGGCGGAGGCAGAGUCGGAAACUGACAGCGACGUUCGCGUUGGCCACUCAGCAGCAUUUGACACUUGACGCAAGGACAACGUAAGGACAAUGGCAACAACGGCGACGAAGACGAGUGCGAAGACUCGUGACGGAGGCUGUGAAAAGAGCACAAAAAUAUUAUUUAAAAAAAAAAAACAGAAGACAUAAAUAAAUAUUUCAAUUUUUGCACAAAAAUUUCAUUUAUAUGUAGCGUAGCGAUAAAAUAUGGAAGCGGGCACAAAAACAAAAAAAAA